UGCGUAGGUGGUUUUUAAGUUAUCUGUGAAAUUCCCGGGCUCAACCUGGGAAGGCCAGAUAAGACUGGAAGACUUGAGUAUAGGAGAGGGCAGUGGAAUUUCCGGUGUAGCGGUGAAGUGCGUAGAGAUCGGAAGGAACACCAGUGGCGAAGGCGACUGCCUGGCCUGAUACUGACACUGAGGCACGAAAGCGUGGGUAGCAAACA
This 206-nucleotide ribosomal RNA is filed under the name uncultured bacterium. RNAcentral's name for it is "partial 16S ribosomal RNA". It matches the Rfam family "Bacterial small subunit ribosomal RNA", at positions 568 to 774 of the family's 1533-position model. The record is from RNAcentral.